This 217-nucleotide long non-coding RNA is filed under the name Gossypium barbadense (sea-island cotton). RNAcentral's name for it is "long non-coding RNA (GBAR_LNC007455)". Lineage: Eukaryota; Viridiplantae; Streptophyta; Magnoliopsida; Malvales; Malvaceae. The record is from RNAcentral.
GGCUACUAACUUGGGUCACACGGCCAGUCACACGCCCGUGUGUCUACCCCGUGCUUAAAACUGACUUGGCCACAUGGCUUGGCACAUACCCGUGUGUGCGAUCGUGUGGUCUAGUAGCCACGAGGGAGAGGCUAAGUAAGCCUUUUACCAACUGAUGAAUGAUUGAUUCACUCAGUAUAUAAGCACCAAUCCAGCUGUGCCACAUCCUUCACCCCCG